AAAUAAUUCAAUACAAAUUUGUUACAUUUCCAUCAUUUUGAACCAAUUUGAGGGGUGCGACCAUCGAAAUUCGAUUUCACUCUUAUCAAUGACAGGUCUAAUGUACAUGCGUAUAGAGAUACUUCCGUUCCUCCUGUAAUUCUUAACAUACCCUUAGUAUUUUACUGAUAACGUUGGCAAUGAUGGUUAGAUUAAUAAUAACAACAAUAAUAUUGA
Long non-coding RNA from Neodiprion fabricii, 216 nucleotides. RefSeq lists it as uncharacterized. The record is from RefSeq and is a predicted model, not a curated record. Lineage: Eukaryota; Metazoa; Arthropoda; Insecta; Hymenoptera; Diprionidae. The transcript has 3 exons.